ACUUUCUUCUUCAGUGGUAUAUGUUAAUGGAACAUAAUCGAUAUCUUGUCAUUUUUCAAUUAGAAAAAUAUUUUCGGUAUUAAACAUAGUAAACAGAAAAGGUGAACUCUAUAAAUUGGAGCAAGAUUUCAGGUAGAAAAGUUGUUCACAGACACACACAUACACACAAAAGGACACAUCGUAGUAGAACUAAUAGAUCCCUCACUACGCUCUGAGUCUAAAAUUGUAAAAUAUCU
Cinara cedri is the source of this 236-nucleotide non-coding RNA. The record is from the annotation of a GenBank genome assembly. NCBI's taxonomy places the organism in Eukaryota, Metazoa, Arthropoda, Insecta, Hemiptera, Aphididae.